AACGAACGCUGGCGGCAUGCCUAACACAUGCCAGUCGAACGAGACCUUCGGGUUUAUUGGCGCACGGGUGCGUAACGCGUGGGAACCUGCCCUUAGGUUCGGAAUAACUCCCCGAAAGGGGUGCUAAUACCGGAUAAUGUCUUCGGACCAAAGAUUUAUCGCCUUUGGAUGGGCCCGCGUUGGAUUAGCUAGUUGGUAGGGUAAAAGCCUACCAAGGCGACGAUGCAUAGCUGGUCUGAGAGGAUGAUAAGCCACACUGGGACUGAGACACGGCCCAGACUCGUACGGGAGGCAGCAGUGGAGAAUAUUGGAGAAUGGGGGAAAGCCUGAUAAAGCAAUGCCGGGUGAGUGAUGAAGGCCGUAGGGUUGUAAAGCUCUUUUACCCGAGAUGAGAAUGACAGUACCGGGAGAAUAAGCUCCGGCUAACUCCGUG
This 433-nucleotide ribosomal RNA is filed under the name uncultured bacterium. RNAcentral's name for it is "partial 16S ribosomal RNA". It matches the Rfam family "Bacterial small subunit ribosomal RNA", at positions 29 to 507 of the family's 1533-position model. The record is from RNAcentral.